GACGAACGCUGGCGGCGUGCCUAAUACAUGCAAGUUGAGCGCUGAAGGCUGGUACUUGUACCAACUGGAUGAGCAGCGAACGGGUGAGUAACGCGUGGGGAAUCUGCCUUUGAGCGGGGGACAACAUUUGGAAACGAAUGCUAAUACCGCAUAAAAACUUUAAACACAAGUUUUAAGUUUGAAAGAUGCAAUUGCAUCACUCAAAGAUGAUCCCGCGUUGUAUUAGCUAGUUGGUGAGGUAAAGGCUCACCAAGGCGAUGAUACAUAGCCGACCUGAGAGGGUGAUCGGCCACAUUGGGACUGAGACACGGCCCAAACUCCUACGGGAGGCAGCAGUAGGGAAUCUUCGGCAAUGGCCGAAAGUCUGACCGAGCAACGCCGCGUGAGUGAAGAAGGUUUUCGGAUCGUAAAACUCUGUUGGUAGAGAAGAAAGUUGGUGAGAGUGGAAAGCUCAUCAAGUGACGGUAACUACUCAGAAAGAGACGGCUAACUACGUG
This 497-nucleotide ribosomal RNA is filed under the name uncultured bacterium. Its description in RNAcentral is "partial 16S ribosomal RNA". It matches the Rfam family "Bacterial small subunit ribosomal RNA", at positions 28 to 507 of the family's 1533-position model. The record is from RNAcentral.